UUUGCUUUCGGCGUGCGUUGUAUACCUAUACCAAUAUAAUAUGAUUAGUUUGCGCGAACGAUAUCCAUUAAAACGAUGACAUCCAGCGACACGAUUUAUUAAAAAUAAUUGUUGAACGCUCAAAAUCUUCGUCUAAAACUCUAGGGGAAAGAAGAAUAAAGUGGCCAUUUCGAUAUCCAUUCAAAUGAUUUGACGUCAAGUGACAUGAUUUAAAGAAAUGUUGAACGCUCAAAAUCUUUGUCUACAACUCCUUCAACUGCUAAGGUUGUUCAACUAACAGCUUGGAACAAACAUUGAAGUUUGGUGGUACUGGGGUAACGGACCUGCCACAACUAGCUGCGGCGGCUGACGGAUUUCGUCUUCGUACGCUUAUAACUACAUAUCAUUUACUACAACAUUCUGGUAUGCAUAUUAUACUAUAAUAUUUCUUAUUAUGAGUUGAGCAACGGAUCGUAAUAGUAUUUGAUGGUAUAUCGGAAGGAGUUUGACAGCCGCCAUUGUCACCACUGCAGCAUGUACGUAAGUCCGUUUCGGUGUACCGGACAAAGUUUUGGCACGUCCUUGAAUAAAUCUUGGUCUACAAUACUCUGCAAGCCUUCGCACUACUGAAUUUGGCAUCUACAUCUUCCAUAAUGCAUUAUUUAGAGAACUAUUAUGCGAUACGUGAAUGUAGAUGAUAUAUUAUACAACAGCCGUUUUAUUGUACUUACAAAAUGAUACAAUAUUACGUCUUGAAUAUCCAAUAUAAUAUUCUCGACAUAAGUGGGGCUGGAUGAAGCCUGACCAAAGUCCUAGGCACAUAUUUUUAAAUAGCCAGUUGUAUAGCAAUAUUAUAAUAAGGUCAUAAUGGAAAAAAAUCAUUAUCUUAUGGGGAAAACUUGUGUGUCUUUAAUAAGUGGCAAUAUGUCGUUUAUGGCAUUUGGGUUAACCGUAAAUGAUAAUUAGUGUGAGUGUUGCUGAAUGCGGAUACCGGGCGAACUUGUGUCAACGGCACCGCCGACCAAAAAUGAAAAGCGUGUUUUUUUUCGUCAAACACGCUUUACAGGAGACACUGUUACGCAUCCUAGGAUGGUCUGAUUUCAUUAUUUUUUGUUAACAUGAGGAUGAUUUUCUACAAAGUGAAUUGAACUUUAAUUUUUAAUUUCAAUACUUACUUAAGACAAAAACUAAUAAAAAAACAAAAGCUUGUAAAUAUUAUAAAUAUUAUAAGGAAAUAUUUUAUUUAUAUUUUUUGGCCAAGAAGUACAAAUUUGAAAAAUAUUUUGUAAAAAACAUUAACAAAACAUUUAAAUCAUAUUUUUUGAAAAACAUUUUCAUGCAAACAUAAAAAUUUUAGUCAACAUUUUUGUGCAAUCAUAUAGUCCAAUAUUUUGUUAUCAUGAGAAUAAAAUAUUUAUACAAUAUAAUUAGUCAAAUAUUCAUUAUACAAGCACUACAAAAUAUUCACAAAAUAUUAUAAUUUCUCAAUUAAUGCUGUGUGGGAAGUAUAUUUUAUUAGUUUAGUAUUAUAGUUAUUUAUAUUUAAAAACAUUUUUUUUCUACUUUAUGUGAGAUAGUCAUUGAUCAAAUAAAUAAAUAAAUGUUAUUUAAUAAUAUAUUUUCAUUCAUUAAUACAAUGCUAAAGCAUUUAAUAUUUCUCCUGGCAACAUAUAUUAAAUGUUGAAUGCUAUAACGAGUGUGAACUAAAAGUGUUAAAUUUAUUUUUAUAAUAUAAUAAAUUAUAUUUUUAUAAUUUAUUAUUCAUUUAGA
Metopolophium dirhodum (rose-grain aphid) is the source of this 1749-nucleotide long non-coding RNA. RefSeq lists it as uncharacterized. The record is from RefSeq and is a predicted model, not a curated record. NCBI's taxonomy places the organism in Eukaryota, Metazoa, Arthropoda, Insecta, Hemiptera, Aphididae. The transcript has 4 exons.